GACAGAGGAUGCAAGCGUUAUCCGGAAUGAUUGGGCGUAAAGCGUCUGUAGGCGGCUUUUUAAGUCCGCCGUCAAAUCCCAGGGCUCAACCCUGGACAGGCGGUGGAAACUACCAAGCUGGAGUACGGUAGGGGCAGAGGGAAUUGCCGGUGGAGCGGUGAAAUGCGUAGAGAUCGGCAAGAACACCAACGGCGAAAGCGCUCUGCUGGGCCGACACUGACACUGAGAGGCGAAAGCGAGGGGAGCGAAUGGG
This 253-nucleotide ribosomal RNA is filed under the name uncultured bacterium. RNAcentral's name for it is "partial 16S ribosomal RNA". It matches the Rfam family "Bacterial small subunit ribosomal RNA", at positions 524 to 776 of the family's 1533-position model. The record is from RNAcentral.